CGAGACACAUAUUGAGGAGGGAGGAUCCAGAUAUAGCUCGUGAACCCGACCUCCUACUCGGUACAGUAACUUGUCCAGUUCCAAGGGGGGAGUAGGUAUACCGGGCCUCCUGUGGUAUUUCUCUCUCCAAAACAAUGAUGGGGUCUAAAAACACUGACUAAAUAACCUCAAGGGUGAGGGAAGAAGUAGUCACGAUAACUUGACCGUGAAGGGCUCGAGCGCCAUGUGACAUCCUGGCCAGAAACGUCGGCUCGAUUGAGAUUUCAUCAUCUCCAUUGAGAAAGGGAGCCGGCCUAUCACCCGUGGACCACUAAAAUCACCACCUCUUGGUCCUUCCUCUCUCGUGUUCAGCGCAAGGGCCUUCCUGACUGUGUGACAGAGGGAGUCCUGAGUGACGCCGUGAAUGACUCUACGAUGCCUUACUGCCCCCCCCACCUCUUC
Oncorhynchus tshawytscha (Chinook salmon) is the source of this 441-nucleotide long non-coding RNA. RefSeq lists it as uncharacterized. Lineage: Eukaryota; Metazoa; Chordata; Actinopteri; Salmoniformes; Salmonidae. The transcript is spliced from 3 exons. The record is from RefSeq and is a predicted model, not a curated record.